GGGGGUGUAGUUCAGUGGCAGAGAACUUGUCUAGCACAUGUGAGAUCCUGGGUUUAAUUCCCAGCACCACCU
RNAcentral lists this transfer RNA (72 nucleotides) under Neotoma lepida (desert woodrat). It matches the Rfam family "tRNA". From Rfam's summary of the family: Transfer RNA (tRNA) molecules are approximately 80 nucleotides in length. Their secondary structure includes four short double-helical elements and three loops (D, anti-codon, and T loops). Lineage: Eukaryota; Metazoa; Chordata; Mammalia; Rodentia; Cricetidae. The record is from Rfam by way of RNAcentral.